RNAcentral lists this ribosomal RNA (458 nucleotides) under Synechocystis sp. ME01. Its description in RNAcentral is "bacterial SSU rRNA". It matches the Rfam family "Bacterial small subunit ribosomal RNA", at positions 218 to 801 of the family's 1533-position model. The record is from RNAcentral. Lineage: Bacteria; Bacillati; Cyanobacteriota; Cyanophyceae; Synechococcales; Merismopediaceae.
CCAGAAGAUGGGCUCGCGUCUGAUUAGCUAGUUGGUGGUGUAAGGGACUACCAAGGCGACGAUCAGUAGCUGGUCUGAGAGGAUGAGCAGCCACACUGGGACUGAGACACGGCCCAGACUCCUACGGGAGGCAGCAGUGGGGAAUUUUCCGCAAUGGGCGAAAGCCUGACGGAGCAAUACCGCGUGAGGGAGGAAGGUCUUUGGAUUGUAAACCUCUUUUCUUAGGGAAGAAGAUCUGACGGUACCUAAGGAAUAAGCAUCGGCUAACUCCGUGCCAGCAGCCGCGGUAAUACGGAGGAUGCAAGCGUUAUCCGGAAUUAUUGGGCGUAAAGCGUCCGUAGGUGGUGAUACAAGUCUGCCUCAGUGUGGUAACUAAGGAAUGUGCAAGCGUAGGGCGAAUCAUGGGACGAAAGCUAGGGUAGCGAAAGGGAUUAGAUAUCCCCCUUUUAGAUCAGGGA